Rattus rattus (black rat) is the source of this 406-nucleotide long non-coding RNA. RefSeq lists it as uncharacterized. NCBI's taxonomy places the organism in Eukaryota, Metazoa, Chordata, Mammalia, Rodentia, Muridae. The transcript is spliced from 3 exons. The record is from RefSeq and is a predicted model, not a curated record.
CAGUCUGCUGCCAGUUGCAAAGAGCUGCUUCUUCCUCUGGGACACGCUUCUCCAUGAGUUACAUCAAGGUCCUCAGUAAAUUGGCAUACGGCAAUAGUCAACAGCUGGACAGGAAGCCAGGGGCCUUGGGUUCAAAUCCUGUCUCCGCCACUCGAGUUGUGCCUUUGUGAUUGCAAGCCACCUAGAUUGCUUAAGCUAACGGGGAAGUGGGGGCAGAGUCAUUCACUGUAAAAUCACAGGAAAGUUUUGAAGGUUGACGACCUCUCAUCUAAAAUGGAGAAGCCCCAAAUACCUCCAGAUCUUGUGAGCACUUCCACAGAGUCGCAAAGAAUAGAAGCGGAUUGUUCCAGCUAUGAUCAACAUCUGAUAUCUCUCAACGUAGAGCUAAGAAACAGACCAUACUCCC